UCUGCGCGGCCGCCACGGCGAGCGCCGCUCCAGUCCCACUCAGUUUGCUCAGUACGGCGCGCCGUAGAAACUGCUGCUUCAGCCGGCGACGGUCGCUUGCCAGCCGUCAUGAGCCACGCGCACUCCGGCACGACCGCCCCGCCCCCCGUGUUCCUCAGGAAGUACUGGAACUCCUCGAAAGGCCGCUUGCUGCCGCUCGGUCAUUUGGCAACUCCCUGUCAUUUUUACUUGGCCACGAGCAGUGCCCACUAUGUAGAGUGGACGGCGUCACCGAAGGCCGGUAGCCACUGCCGGUGGCCCUUAGCCACCUGAUGGAAUAAUUGCCUUGCCCGUGCAGCCUUCAAAGAGCAACAUCCUGCGCCAGAGGUCCGCAUACAAUACCAGUCUACUGCUCUGUGCUCUGUGAACGACGCGGAUAACGUUGGCUGGUCUUGGAUGUACACUACAUCAUCGCGUCUGAGUGCUACCAGGAGUUAAGUACGGCGACAAACUUCGAUAACAGUAACGAGGAGUAACUUCAAAAGCUACAGCAGCUGGAAGAACAACACAGACCCCUGGCAGGAAUUCAAAGACAAGCAGUACAAGUUCUGGUCCUCUCAAGACUACAGCUCCUUGCCAAAGACUGACCGCCCCGAGUUCUCAGCAGGUCCCUUCGCAGUAGCCCAUGUAUAUGAUAGAUUUACGUUAGGCUGACCUGAGGCACCAAUAAAGGCUUCUU
Long non-coding RNA from Rhipicephalus sanguineus (brown dog tick), 718 nucleotides. RefSeq lists it as uncharacterized. The record is from RefSeq and is a predicted model, not a curated record. Lineage: Eukaryota; Metazoa; Arthropoda; Arachnida; Ixodida; Ixodidae. The transcript is spliced from 3 exons.